GAUGAACGCUGACAGAAUGCUUAACACAUGCAAGUCGAUGGGGAAGUGGUGCUUGCACCCUGGCAACCAUGGCGGACGGGUGAGUAACGCGUAAGGGACUUACCUGCAGGACUGGGAUAACAGGGGGAAACUCCUGACAAGACCGGAUAAUGUCAUGGAGCUGCAUGGCUUUAUGAUGAAAGGAGACGCCUGCGGAGAGCCUUGCGUCCUAUUAGCUAGUUGGUGAGGUAAUGGCUCACCAAGGCGAAGAUAGGUAGCCGGCCUGAGAGGGUGGACGGCCACAAGGGGACUGAGAUACGGCCCUUACUCCUACGGGAGGCGGCAGUGGGGAAUAUUGGACAAUGGGGGCAACCCUGAUCCAGCAAUUCUGUGUGCACGAAGAAGGUUUUAGGAUUGUAAAGUGCUUUCAGCAGGGAAGAAGUAAGUGACGGUACCUGCAGAAGAAGCGACGGCUAAAUACGUG
This 463-nucleotide ribosomal RNA is filed under the name uncultured bacterium. Its description in RNAcentral is "partial 16S ribosomal RNA". It matches the Rfam family "Bacterial small subunit ribosomal RNA", at positions 28 to 507 of the family's 1533-position model. The record is from RNAcentral.